UUUUUUUGUUUUUUUUUUUUUUUUACUGAUUUGUAUAAAUGCAUUAAGCAGCACCUCAGUACUAUGUAAUUUGUUGUGUAUUGUGUGGAUUCUCACUUACAUUUCACUCGUUCAUAAAAAUAAAAACUAAAAACUUUGUAAUAUGCUAGAUGGCUUUCUUCAAAAUUUUCUAAAGUGAAAUAAUGCUGCUGUUGUGAGUGACUCAUGCAGUGUAAGUGUAUGAGUAAGCAGAUCAGAAAUACCAGUCUUUCCUUACAGGUAUGAAUCCUAGUUAUUUUUGAUACUUCAGAGUCUUAUAAAUUCUUUAAUUUAGUUUAUGGUUGAUAAGUAACAGACAGGUAUCUUAGUUUAUUAUCUUUUGAUAAACCUGCAGUUUUAAUGAUUAAAACCAGAUUUUAAUUUAACAUAACUAGAUGUAUUAAAUAAGAAAUUUUGCAAAUUGGAUUUCAGAAAUUUCUUAGAGUUUGUUUAAUCUUUUCCUGUAUUUAAGUAACAUUUAGGUUUCUUUUCCUGCUUUGUACAGUGUAACUUUGGAUGGUAAUAUCUUUGCAAAUGUAAAUAAAAGCAUUUCUUAAAAUAUCUGGCAAUAGUAAUCUGUAACAUAUUUUUUUUUAAUUGUUUCUGCUGUAUUUUGUUUUAAUUUGCAAUACAGUCUUCACAGUACCCACAUUUCUUUUCUGAGUAUGAAUAUAUUUUUUGUCUGCCGCAGUUCAGUGUUUAGAAGUUCUUACAAAUUGGAAAUAGGAUAUUUGAAAAAUUGAAAUUAAUCUUUCACUGGUGAUUUGUACUGUAAGUACUGAAAAUCUAUAUUUGUAAAAUUGGAAAUGCAGUUAAAGCUUAAAGAUCGGCUGUAUUUCAGUCUUAGACUAACACUGACUCAAGUAUAAAACUUCAGAGAGUUUUUAUUUCUCAUUUAUUGCAUUUUUGUUUGGUUGGUUUUGGUUUGAUGAUUUUUGGUUGGUUUAUUGGGGCUUUUUUUUUUUUGUUUUUGUUUCUUUGAGGGGGGAGGUGUUUUUGUUGUUAUUUUUCACCAGAAGUCUUUGAACUGGUCUUGGAAAUUGAAUUCUAACUUCAAAUAUUUUUCUAGCAAUUUGACUUAGCAUUUCUAACAAGCUCCUAUGAAAGGAGUCUACACCAGAUUUGGCACCAAAUAUGUCUAGAAGAGAGAGCAAGCACUGUGAACUCUUUUGGCAGGAGACCAACUCUUGGUAGUUUUUAAAUAACACUAAUCACAGCUAAAAGAUUUUUCUGACAAUCAGUUAUAUUUUGAAGUAAGUACUUCUUCAUCAGUAGUUUUGGGUUUCUGUCAAAUUUACCAGCAGUGCAAAAGAUUGCAUAUACUUUUGGCUGGAGACAAAAUCCUGUUAUUUAGGAAGAAUAUUCCCAGUCCUUAUGUACAUCCUUGACCAUUUAAAAUACUACAAAAAUCAAUAGCCAAAAAAAAACUGUAGAAAGUUGCUAGCUUUCUUAUCUCCACAAGAAUAUUGAUUGUGCUCUUAGUUUUCAGCCGUUGUUGCUGUAGUUUAAUCUACUAAUCUUCCUUGGAUCCCAAUUUAACAGUAGGUGGUAAUCUUAUAAUGGCAAAGGUAUUGCAUUUAAAAGAGACACAUAGAGUAUGGUGUAGCUUUUAAUAUUGGUCCCUUGUGGUUUAUAUACAAUAUUGUUUAUGCACUAGAAAGUUGAAUCACAGCUAAUUUCAAGUUUUUAUAUCUCAGUGUUAGGUUUCUGUUAAAAUGCAAAAGAAAAGGGUUUUCCAAUCUGUUAAAUAUUAAUGCAUUAUAUUGAUUACCUAAGGAUUAGACUAAUCAUUUUUAUAUUAUGCAAAUUUUUCAAGGCCAGGUUAGAUGGGGCAUUGAGACACCUGGUCUAGUGAGAGGCAUCCCUGCCUUGAACAUCUGCCUUUUGAGCCAGCCCACCCCAGUUGUCCACACCAGCCCUUGUCAUAGCCUUGCUCAAACAUCCCCAUCCUGUUAUCAUUCCCCUGAGUGACCUUGGCAGUCUCUGUGGGGAAGGGAAAUAAAGGAGCUAGUUGCAUUCCCUGCUGUCAUUUGGCAUUUGUUUUGGUUUUUGGAAAUGAUAGAUUUAUGUCAAGUUGGUCACACUUUGGGCAUCUCUUUAUGUUGUCUUUCCCUUGCAGAUGGAAUCAGAAUUUUCUGGGGAUUUUUCUGCUUUUUUGGCAUUUAGAUACUAUGAGUAUCUAAAUUUCUUCUACUUUACCUUUCUUCCAGAAAACUGUCUACAAAGAGACAUUUGAAAAAGCUAAAUGGACCUCUAGCUAUUUCCUGCAGCUCCCUAUUCUCUAAGGAAUCAUGGUGUAUGUAAUCUUAGUUUUCUGGUUUCCUGCAGAGGAAUAUGCUAUUUUGAAUAUGCUGUUUUCAAUAUGCCAAACACCUCUGUCAAGAGGUGAAUUAAUGUCUAUCCAGAGAAUAUAAUUUUAUAACCAUUUUUUUGUGAGACAAUUUGAGGGGAAGUGAGAGACGUGGUGACCACUUGCCUUUAAAAGACAGGCAGGGACUCACACUUCCUGCGAGCUUAUCAGACAGAACAUAGAGGUUCACAAGGCUUCAAUCUGCCUUGUCUUGCUUGUGUGUAGGUCUUCAGAAGUAAUCAGCUACCAUCACUGGCAUGAAACAAAGAAAAUUUCUUGUAUUCACAGCCUACUACUUUAAGGAAAGAUAAAGAAUUAACACACAAUUUUGUCUUGCUGGGUUUUUUUGAACAGCUGUGAGAGUCCUCUUGUUGAGAAAGUCAACAAGAAUAUUGCAUCUCUUCAUGUUGAGGCAGUUUUCAUACCAGAAAAGACUACCAAAUAUGAUGAAAAAUAUUUUUUUUUCUUAUAGGCCUGUUUACUGUAGAAUUUUAAUCACCCUUGCUGUUUAUAAAAGGUUUCCUAUUGAUAAAUUUUUCAGACCUCAUCUACAAAUCCAAGAUUUAGCAAAUCUGUAAGAAAGAUUGUUCCCUGGGCACAGGACAGUUCUAUUUGCAAAAGCUAAAUAAAGUAAGCUAACAUUACCCAACCUGUACAGCUGGGCUCUGUUUGUUCCUAUUUGUGACUUCCACCAGCUGAUAAAAGGUCUGAAAGUGGGAUUUCACAGUUAUUUUCCUGUUCUCCUGAGCAUGACUGGCCUGCAUCUCUUUCUAAUGCUAUAUAGCUGAAUUUGAUAUAUAUAUAAAAUAGGAAAAGAUUCCUUGUAGCACAUAAAUUUACCUGAAAGGUGAAGGUAUGCCGAAGGCAACAUAUUUUGAAGAACCUCUAUUUAUGGUCAGCAUUAAUGUCUGAAAUAUAUGAUUUAACUUACCAGACCAGAUUUAAAAGGAGCUGUAAGUAGAGCUCAUAAUUCAGAGCUGUUACACUGAAUCCUUUAAUUAUAUACUGAAUUUUUCAUCUAAAACUUAUAUGGCUUUCGGGAUUGAUGAUCUGAUAAAAAGCAUUUAUCUUCAUGAUAAUGUAUUUAAAUGUAAUACAGAAAGUUGGAAAUUUUGAUCUAAGAAACAAUUUGGUAAUCUUCCACUUUCCAAACAGUUAAAGGGCUUCAGUGGCAGAGCAGUGACCCCUUGUGUUCCUCUGAAUGAUGUAAUGCUUACACAUUUUUAAAACCCACAGAAAUUAUUGUAAAAGCAAUAGUGCUGUGCAGCAUUGAGAUCCUGCCUUUUGCACACCACUGAAGAACACUGUGAUGGGCAAAGGCACCUUUAUGUGUCAUACUGACUCCUGUAGUGUGUUGUGUCAAAACCACUGCUAUCCAUCUUGUCUUUUGGGCUGAUGAAACCCUUGAAUGCCAUCUUCUGACCGUGGAUAGGAAUAUCCUUGUUUAUUAGACUUUUGUUUUUUAUGUAAGUUUGAAAGCAAGUGUAUCAAUGACUCCCUUAUUAUUACUAGAAGAGAUAACUUUGAACAAAAUAAUUUUUUGCUUAAUUGCUUGUGGGUACUUUUUUUUUGAGCCAUCCUGAGUUGAAAUGUAACAAUAUGCAACAAGACAUUUGUUCUCUAAGGUCACACAGAGAGAAUUAACUGAGGAAAAGAGAUCUGAGAAGCCACAUAUAUUUUUUCCCAGAAACCAGUUCUCUUUGUGCCCAUUACUCAAGCAUAUUUAGACUGGAACCAAGGAAUAUUUCCCCGAAUAUAACAUGUCUCUCUGAUCACUGCAGCUUAAUGGUAAGUAAUUGCUCUGAUAGAUGUACCAGAGCUGAGGCUACAAAUUCAGUGGCUGGGAUACUACUAACAAUAGUCAAAAAGUCAGCACAAAAAACACUCCUACUAGUAAGUUUAAGAUCAUCUUCAAGUUCAUAAAAUGGAAUCCUUAGUACAGUUAAUUAUGUCUAUCCUUAGUACAGUAAAAAUAAUCUAUCCAGCCUCGGGAAAAAAAAGUAUCAUACAGUAGAGUUUCAAACAGGAGCAUAAUAUCCCACCCACACAUCGGCUUUUUGGAAAAGUAUUAGGCUUUUGAAGAAGGUUGGAGAUAACUAGUGUUGCCAGACUGGUUUUUUGCUUCAGAAGAAGCAAUAUUCUAGUGUGUGCAUUCAAGAGUUAUUUAUAUAAGAAAUGCAAUUAAACAUAAUUUCUCAGUUCAUGAUCCUUUGAAGCCACAAAGUAGCAGUUGGAUGUCUGCUUGAUUUGUCCUCCUCCUUGCUGAAGUGUGAGGGGGAUUUUUUUCACAGCAGUCCUGCACACCAAGGCUGGAUUUCAUAAGCAGAUGCUGAACGCUGUUUCCUUCCUGAUUCAGUUGUCUUUCUGCUAAUCAGUCUUCAGCACUGCCUCCUCCUGAUUUUUUGUUUACUUCUAUGUGGUAGAUUAGGUUGAAAAAUAAUUCCUGAAUUGUCUUGCUAUACUAACUUGAAUCCUUAUACAAGCCUGUUAUUAUAGCAGCCUCAAUUAUUAAAAACAAAAAACUUUUAAAAUAAAGCAGAUGGACAAAUGAGAUGCCUGUGCAUGCCCUGUGUAACAGCUAAUCACUGAUGCCUUCUGCAGCAGUGCAUAGAAAGGCUUCUUACCAUUCUUGCCUAAGUAUUCAAACAGUCUAGUUUCACAGAACAGUGGCAAAAAGUAAUCAACAUUUUUCUUGCUCCAAGAGUAGUUGAUAGUGAUAAAUUAAUGCCUGAGGAAACAGGUGCUAUGCUUUAUAAAUCAUAUCACAAUAAAUAAUCAAAAGCGCUUAUUUGGAUGUGGU
This 5168-nucleotide long non-coding RNA is filed under the name Taeniopygia guttata (zebra finch). Its description in RNAcentral is "lncRNA (ENSTGUG00000022720.1)". Lineage: Eukaryota; Metazoa; Chordata; Aves; Passeriformes; Estrildidae. The record is from RNAcentral.